This 356-nucleotide ribosomal RNA is filed under the name uncultured bacterium. Its description in RNAcentral is "bacterial SSU rRNA". It matches the Rfam family "Bacterial small subunit ribosomal RNA", at positions 8 to 350 of the family's 1533-position model. The record is from RNAcentral.
AGAGUUUGAUCAUGGCUCAGGAUGAACGCUAGCUACAGGCUUAACACAUGCAAGUCGAGGGGAAACGACAUCGAAAGCUUGCUUUUGAUGGGCGUCGACCGGCGCACGGGUGAGUAACGCGUAUCCAACCUGCCCACCACUUGGGGAUAACCUUGCGAAAGUAAGACCUAAUACCCAAUGACGUCUCUAGAAGACAUCUGAAAGAGAUUAAAGAUUUAUCGGUGAUGGAUGGGGAUGCGUCUGAUUAGCUUGGUUGGCGGGGUAACGGCCACCAAGGCGACGAUCGAGUAGGGGUUCUGAGACGGAAGGUCCCCCANAUUGGAACUGAGACACGGUCCAAACUCCUACGGGAGGCA